RNAcentral lists this transfer RNA (76 nucleotides) under Ictidomys tridecemlineatus (thirteen-lined ground squirrel). RNAcentral's name for it is "Spermophilus tridecemlineatus (thirteen-lined ground squirrel) tRNA". The record is from Rfam by way of RNAcentral. Lineage: Eukaryota; Metazoa; Chordata; Mammalia; Rodentia; Sciuridae.
AGGGAAGUAGCUCAACGGAAGAGCAUUGGGUUCAAGCCUCAGUGCAGCAAAAAAGGUAAAUACAGUUUCUUUCCUG